This 221-nucleotide ribosomal RNA is filed under the name uncultured Desulfocapsa sp. Its description in RNAcentral is "partial 16S ribosomal RNA". It matches the Rfam family "Bacterial small subunit ribosomal RNA", at positions 1165 to 1382 of the family's 1533-position model. The record is from RNAcentral. Lineage: Bacteria; Pseudomonadati; Thermodesulfobacteriota; Desulfobulbia; Desulfobulbales; Desulfocapsaceae.
GGAGGAAGGUGGGGAUGACGUCAAGUCCUCAUGGCCUUUAUGACCAGGGCUACACACGUACUACAAUGGCCGGUACAAAGGGCAGCGACACAGCGAUGUGAAGCCAAAUCCCGAAAAGCCGGUCUCAGUCCGGAUUGGAGUCUGCCAACUCGACUCCAUGAAGUUGGAAUCGCUAGUAAUCGCGGAUCAGCACGCCGCGGUGAAUACGGUUCCCGGGCCUU